Molecule: ribosomal RNA, 460 nt
Filed under: uncultured bacterium
Lineage: Bacteria
Description: partial 16S ribosomal RNA
Rfam family: Bacterial small subunit ribosomal RNA
Source: RNAcentral
CCUACGGGUGGCUGCAGUGAGGAAUAUUGGUCAAUGGACGAGAGUCUGAACCAGCCAAGUAGCGUGAAGGAUGACUGCCCUAUGGGUUGUAAACUUCUUUUAUAUGGGAAUAAAAUGUUCCACGUGUGGGAUUUUGUAUGUACCAUAUGAAUAAGGAUCGGCUAACUCCGUGCCAGCAGCCGCGGUAAUACGGAGGAUCCGAGCGUUAUCCGGAUUUAUUGGGUUUAAAGGGAGCGUAGGUGGAUUGUUAAGUCAGUUGUGAAAGUUUGCGGCUCAACCAUAAAAUUGCAGUUGAUACUGGCAGUCUUGAGUACAGUAGAGGUGGGCGGAAUUCGUGGUGUAGCGGUGAAAUGCGUAGAGAUCACGAAGAACUCCGAUUGCGAAGGCAGUUCACUGGACUGCAACUGACACUGAGGCUCGAAAGUGUGGGUAUCAAACAGGAUUAGAUACCCCAGUAGUC